RNAcentral lists this long non-coding RNA (1021 nucleotides) under Phocoena sinus (vaquita). RNAcentral describes it as "lncRNA (ENSPSNG00000021170.1)". The record is from RNAcentral. Lineage: Eukaryota; Metazoa; Chordata; Mammalia; Artiodactyla; Phocoenidae.
ACGUGAAGGCGGAGGAGAUGAGAUUACUCGUUGGAUUUCCUCUAGGACUCACUUCAUUUCAGGGUGGACGCUGCGCAUUUUCGUGACCGGGACGAAAUCACCGCGCGGAUGAGGCGCCUUGAGAGCGCUGGCAGCCUAGAGGCUUUGAAGGCUGUGAUGUGCAUUGCAGACUUUCCUCACCGUUAGACGUGGGAAACGUCUUCCCGCCCAGAAGUAGUUUGUUGUACUGCCCUCGUGAUCUGCCACUUUGAGCAGGUUUCCUAGUGGCGUCUGGAGAUGGGCGGCUUAAUUUUGUGACUUUAAAAUUAAUUGAAAAUUUAAAUCAAAAAAGUAAUUGGGGAAUUCCGUGGUUAGGAUUCGGCGCUUUCACCGUGGAGGCCCAGGUUUAAUCCCUGGUCAGGGAACUGAGAUACCGCAAGCCGCACAACACGGCCAAAACAAAAUAACAACAAAAAAAGUAAUUGUUCCAGCAAGGAACCAGAACCUGUGCCAUCAACAUCCGGCAUGAGUGAAAUUGCAGCUUGCCCUCUGUUUCCUAUUGCUGAUGACCCUGCAGCUCUACCAUCUCUCACCUCCACUCCCUCCUCCAGUCAGUAACUCUUCUUUUUUUUUUAAAUAAAUUUAUUUAUUUUAUGUAUUUAUUUUUGGCUGUGUUGGGUUUUUGUUGCUGCAUGCAGGCUUUCUCUAGUUGCACUGAGCAGGGGCUGCUCUUUGUUCCGGUGUGCGGGCUUCUCACUGCGGUGGCUUCUCUUGUUGCCGAGCGUGGGCUCUAGGCCCGCGGGCUUCAGUAGUUGUGGCUCGCGGACUUAGCUGCUCCGUGGCAUGUGGGAUCUUCCCGGACCAGGGCUCGAACCCAUGUCCCCUGCAUCGGCAGGCAGAUUCUUAACCAGUGUGCCACCAGGGAAGCCCCUCAGUAACUCUUCUUGUCUGUUCAUUCAGUGCCAGCCCCUGUGUGGCAGCUGUUGUACUGGACUACUGUACUUUUCAAGGUAUUGUACUGGAAGAUUAAACAUGUUUUCUU